RNAcentral lists this long non-coding RNA (1003 nucleotides) under Phoenix dactylifera (date palm). RNAcentral describes it as "long non-coding RNA (PDAC_LNC010569)". The record is from RNAcentral. Lineage: Eukaryota; Viridiplantae; Streptophyta; Magnoliopsida; Arecales; Arecaceae.
AAUCAAGUAAACAUAUAUGCUACUCAUGAAUAUGCUCAACAGAUCAUAAUGCUGGAACAUACAAAUCAGGUGUCAAUAUGCUGAAAUCAUCACUAGACAGCUGUCGGGACGUGGGUUUUACGCUCCAGGCGAACCAGCAACAACUCCCUACUGUCACAUGCAUAUGCAGGAUAAGACACCAUAUCGAUAAUGUAAAUGCUAGACAGCUGUCGGAAGGUGGGUUUUACGCCCCAGGCGAACCAGCAACAACUUCCUACUGUCACAUGCAUAUGCAGGAUAAGACACCACACUAAUCCCGGCCAGUAUCCAGAACAGAAAUCCAUCUCACAUCUACAUACUAAACGGCACCUCGCGGGAAUUCUACAUCCGCAGAAAGCCAUACUGCACCUCGCGGGGUCUUACUAUGCCCGGCGGCAAGCAGAAUAUAAGUCGUAGGACUGGCCGAUCCUACGCCUAGGGCCGUGUCCCCCCUAGGAAGGGACUGGGCUCCGCCCACCCAGAAGGCUACUAUGUGCACAAAGGCCGAUGUUCAACCCCAUCGACUAUAGGUGUCCUACAGAUACUGCCAAGCCAUGCAUAAAUGCCAUAAUGCACCCUCCCAAUACUCUACUAAAAAGGAGUAUAAUCAAGACUACCACUCACUCGAUCAUGACCCAAUCAUAAACUAACAUCAGGGUUAGGAGUGAGGGUCAAGGAAGUGCAAUACAACUCAAUAUACCACUAAAAAGGCUCUACAAAUUUUUGAAAUAGAGGAAAUGAAAUCAAUUUACAAAAGAAAUCAUUUCACAAUUCAGAAUCAAUUUGAUUACUCAUCAACCCCUCGUAAUUCCUCUCAAUAUUCCCUCAAAUGCAUGUACAAAAUAAUCAAGCAUAGAGAAUCAAGAUUGUAGAGAAAUCUACUACAACAAUUAAUCAAUAAGCUCAGGUGGAAUCAAGUCACACUUGGCAACAUUCAUGAAAAUGAAUAAAGAAUGUGCUCAUGGUGCAAAGUACGAGCUCCCAC